AGGCGCUAUAACUGCCCGGAUGCGUUACCAAGAUGGCUGCUUGAUGGACUUGAGUUUUUGCAAAAUCAAAUAUAAUUGUUGAAUGAGCAUUAGUUAGUACACCUUGACAUCUUGGAUACAAUAACAAGUUAGCAUGCCACGUUUGUGUGCUUUCUGCGGCUGUAAUAAUCGAGUGGGCUGUGGGCUUUCGUUUUUCGCAUUCCCAAAGGACAGUACAAGGUAACUUAGUCACAAAAUCACAUUGUUUUAAAUGACGCAGAAUGACGUGUUUUCGUAUAAAGACCAGUCAUUAAAGACUUACAUAAGCGGGGAUACGUAAGGUUUCUUACUCUGUGGUAUUUAAACACAUCAGCUCAGUCCCGUUAGGUGAUUCAGCCUUAAAGCAACCUCGCCACUCGGCAGCCAUCUUGGUAACGUCUGCAGGUACUUACGUAGCAUUUUAAUUUAGCUUUCGUUUAUAAUGUUCACGGAGGGCGAAAAACUCCACGCACAGAGUCACCAGUCAAGGGUUAUAAAAGCGCUUUACGGGGUUACUGACCUUUAAAAAAAGAGACAUCCAAAUUCGUUUUUCUUUAGAAAAUGCGUUACCAAGGUGACUGUCACAUAGCAAUACUUUGGUUUUGAAGUUUAAAUCACUUCUGAUUUUACUUAAUGACGUCAGGCAGUAAUAUGGCAUAAGUAAUGUACGAACAGCUGUUUCUUAAACACGUGUAAAGCGAAACAUGCAGAAGAACUCUGAAAAGCUGAUGCUGAUUUGUGUUUGAAGCAAUGUGAAUAAUUAAUACAGGAGGCGGAAAUGGCUUCUUAAUUUGAUGAGGGCAGACUUACCCCCCGACAGGACGAGAGAAGAGUCCGACAGAGCUGGGUAUGUGGUCUGCGAACAGCAUUUCAGGCCAAACGACAUAAACUCAAAGGGUAGAAGAAAACGUCUGGCUCCUGAAGCCAUCCCCAUUCUUCUGCACACUAUAAAGGAGGAACAGAGAGAUUUGGAGAUGCUUCCCACUGAUGUUCCUGCUCCAGUGCCUCUGCGAGACACACCCCCAUAUGAACAGGUCAUGGCAAUGUUUAACAAGCUGCUGGCAGAGAAGGAUGAGAAAAUCAAGGAUCUGAAAAGCAUUCUGCAGAGAGAGAGGGCCAGAAUGCGGCUGAUGAAGUUCCGUAUGAACAGCAAAAUCAGAGAACUGAAAAGAAAACUUGAACAGCAGCAGAACACUAGCGGUGACCAAGGCGAUCAGCUGACUGCUGCCUCCGACUGCCUUCCACAGGCAGCAAAGGAGUUUUUUGACAAGCAAAUAGCCAUGGCCAGGGUGAGGAAACACGGCCAGAGAUACGACAAGAAACAAAAGGACAUGGCAAUCCAGCUGUACAAACAGAGCCCAAGCUGUUACUCUGAACUCCAAAAAAUGUUUCAGUUACCGUCUUCAACCACUCUGAGGAGGCACCAGGUGGUCAGUCAGGAAGCGAGUCCAGACACAGCGGGUGACCCAGAGAGAGGUGAGGAGGAGAAACUUGCUGAUGUAGCUGGAUGGGUGGUGCAGAAAGUGGCUCAAGAUCCAGAAGUCAGUGCUUGUGCCGAAUGUGAAAGUUUGCUUGUGGAGACCAAUGACACUGAGCACAACUAUCACACACAGAUGGAGAAGGAUGCCGUCUCAGCUGUGAAGAAAAGCCCAACCUCUGCCAGGCUGCUUCAUCCAUCCGAAGCUUUCAAAGAAUGCAUUUCCAAAUGUGACGGUGUCAUCCAAAAAAUCCCCCCAAAUGCAAUGGCCCCGAAGAAAUUAAAGGCCUCCCUCAGAGCCAGCGGUGCUUUCAGUGAGCUCCACCGCAUCCAUCCUGCCCACUCAAAGGCCAUCGAGAGGGUUGCCUUGAAUAAAUAUGUAAUGUGCAGGGUGGUGGCCGAGCUGAAAGAAACAGCACAAAACAGAAAACGCACACAUGAGAAAAAAAGUGCUGCGUGUCAAGAGCUAAAUGUUAGCACCCAUGAAGUAAAUCAGGACUAAAUAAAUAUCAGAUGAUGUUAAUUUGAUAAUAAAUUAUUUUAGGCCAUUCUAACUUGUCUGUGUUGUUUCAAGCUUUCCUGCACUUGACCUAGAUGGAUUUAGUUUUUCAAUUUCAGUUCAAUUUUGUAUAGCGCCAUGCCUCAAGGCACUUAUUGUAAGCUAAAGACGCUACAAUAAUACAAAGAAAACCCCAACAAUCAGCCGUUUCAGUCUCCAUCGCUGUAUUUUAGCUGUCCGGUGCGUGUAAGUGUGUGUGUGAAGAAUCUCUAGCCAGAGAAAACAUGAUAUAAAUAAUUUAAAUCAGUGGAACUUUUGGUUGCUUCCUCCUUAUUUUACCACAACACACAGAUCCAUGUAUAAUUUGACACUGAUUUUCCAUUGGAUGCUAUUCCCGACACAACCCUCCCAUAAACCCAAGCUUGGGGCUGGCACUGGGUCUAGCUUGUGACCCCUGAGGUUCAGUUUGUGUCUCCUGUUCUUGCACUGGGUUCUUUUGGCUGUAAUGUGAAUGUGGCAACUACCAAACUAGAUAAAGUCC
Molecule: long non-coding RNA, 2535 nt
Organism: Oreochromis aureus
Lineage: Eukaryota; Metazoa; Chordata; Actinopteri; Cichliformes; Cichlidae
Source: Ensembl